This 253-nucleotide ribosomal RNA is filed under the name uncultured bacterium. RNAcentral describes it as "partial 16S ribosomal RNA". It matches the Rfam family "Bacterial small subunit ribosomal RNA", at positions 524 to 776 of the family's 1533-position model. The record is from RNAcentral.
UACGGAAGGUGCAAGCGUUAAUCGGAAUUACUGGGCGUAAAGCGCACGUAGGCGGUCCGGUAAGUCGGGUGUGAAAGCCCUGGGCUCAACCUGGGAAUUGCAUUCGAUACUGCCAGGCUGGAGUCUGGAAGAGGGGGGUGGAAUUCCAGGUGUAGAGGUGAAAUGCGUAGAUAUUAGGAAGAACACCAGUGGCGAAGGCGGCCCCCUGGACCGGUACUGACGCUGAGGUGCGAAAGCGUGGGGAGCAAACAGG